RNAcentral lists this ribosomal RNA (651 nucleotides) under unidentified microorganism. Its description in RNAcentral is "bacterial SSU rRNA". It matches the Rfam family "Bacterial small subunit ribosomal RNA", at positions 115 to 780 of the family's 1533-position model. The record is from RNAcentral.
ACGUGAGUAACCUUCCCUUGACUCUGGGAUAAGCCCGGGAAACUGGGUCUAAUACCGGAUAUGACUUCUCAUCGCAUGGUGGGGGGUGGAAAGAUUUAUCGGUCUUGGAUGGACUCGCGGCCUAUCAGCUUGUUGGUGAGGUAAUGGCUCACCAAGGCGACGACGGGUAGCCGGCCUGAGAGGGUGACCGGCCACACUGGGACUGAGACACGGCCCAGACUCCUACGGGAGGCAGCAGUGGGGAAUAUUGCACAAUGGGCGCAAGCCUGAUGCAGCGACGCCGCGUGAGGGAUGACGGCCUUCGGGUUGUAAACCUCUUUCAGUAGGGAAGAAGCGAAAGUGACGGUACCUGCAGAAGAAGCGCCGGCUAACUACGUGCCAGCAGCCGCGGUAAUACGUAGGGCGCGAGCGUUAUCCGGAAUUAUUGGGCGUAAAGAGCUCGUAGGCGGUUUGUCGCGUCUGCCGUGAAAGUCCGGGGCUUAACCCCGGAUCUGCGGUGGGUACGGGCAGACUAGAGUGCAGUAGGGGAGACCGGAAUUCCUGGUGUAGCGGUGAAAUGCGCAGAUAUCAGGAGGAACACCGAUGGCGAAGGCAGGUCUCUGGGCUGUUACUGACGCUGAGGAGCGAAAGCAUGGGGAGCGAACAGGAUUA